RNAcentral lists this ribosomal RNA (492 nucleotides) under uncultured bacterium. RNAcentral describes it as "partial 16S ribosomal RNA". It matches the Rfam family "Bacterial small subunit ribosomal RNA", at positions 29 to 507 of the family's 1533-position model. The record is from RNAcentral.
AGUGAACGCUGGCGGUAGGCCUAACACAUGCAAGUCGAACGGCAACACAGUAAGAGCUUGCUCUUACGGGUGGCGAGUGGCGGACGGGUGAGGAAUACAUCGGAAUCUACUUUUUCGUGGGGGAUAACGUAGGGAAACUUCCGCUAAUACCGCAUACGACCUACGGGUGAAAGCAGGAGAUCUUCGGACCUUGCGCGAUUGAUUGAGCCGAUGUCGGAUUAGCUAGUUGGCGGGGUAAAGGCCCACCAAGGCGACGAUGCGUAGCUGGUCUGAGAGGAUGAUCAGCCACACUGGAACUGAGACACGGUCCAGACUCCUACGGGAGGCAGCAGUGGGGAAUAUUGGACAAUGGGCGCAAGCCUGAUCCAGCCAUACCGCGUGAGUGAAGAAGGCCUUCGGGUUGUAAAGCCCUUUUGUUGGGAAAGAAAAGCAGCAGGUUAAUACCCCGCUGUUCUGACGGUACCCAAAGAAUAAGCACCGGCUAACUUCGUG